GCUCUGGUGGCCUAGUGGUUAGGGCAUUUGCCUCGGAUGCAAGAGGUUGUGGGCUUGAACCCCUGCCAAAUCA
Molecule: non-coding RNA, 73 nt
Organism: Potamilus streckersoni
Lineage: Eukaryota; Metazoa; Mollusca; Bivalvia; Unionida; Unionidae
Source: the annotation of a GenBank genome assembly